This is a long non-coding RNA of Anser brachyrhynchus (Pink-footed goose), 1667 nucleotides long. The record is from Ensembl. NCBI's taxonomy places the organism in Eukaryota, Metazoa, Chordata, Aves, Anseriformes, Anatidae.
CUGUUACACCUUGAAAUGCCAGUGCAACAGGCACUCCUAACUGCUUAGAGUCAUGUGUAAAGCUCAUAUAGGGGAAAGAGAGCAAGCCUUGUUUCCUGUAGAGCAUUGUGGCUGGAGGUUGGGAGGCUGGUGUGUACUGGCAUUACUGGGACAUGUGUUCUCUCCAGAGCUGAGUCAGGAAAUGACACCAGGCUUAUGUAGUAUAAAAGCACGACCCAAGAAUGGUGUAAGCUGCAGAGCUGGGGCUGUGGAUUGGUGUCAGUGUCACAAGUGCUUCCAGGUAAUGCUGAGUCUCAGCAACUUCGUGAGAGCUGGAUGUGAUGGGCUUGUGCCACUGCAAAAGGAUUCUCACAAAGAGCUCAGGAAGUGUUAUGCUUAAAAAAGAAAUACAAAACUCAUUGCAGAACCCGUUGAAGCUUUUACGGCCUGUAGGCUGUCAGCAUUUCCAUCGUGGUUCCCUGCAUGCAGAAGUUGACAAUUCAGCUAUAAAUAAUCACUGCUGGUUGGAAAUUGGGUAUGUAAAACUCUAGCUAGAGUCAAGUCAUAGUCUCUGUGAAAACGAUACAUAAAGGAGGUAUUCUAAACAACAACAAAAUUUCUUGUCAUUCCUGUUACACUCAAAGAGAAUACGUGAGCCCAACAAUAUGUUUUUAUUUGAUUUGAAAAAAAGAUUUACCUACUUCUCCUCUUCGUAUGUUUGUAACGUGAAAUCCCUUGGGAAUGUUAAAAAUGACUGUACUUUCUCCAAAGCUGUCAUCUAAAUUCAGAGGAAGAAAACUCCAGGCACAUGAGGUACAGCGCAUCGCUCUUCGCCUGUGCACCACCCGUGGCUGUAGGGUGCUUGCAGCAGAGCUGAAGAAGCAGGGCAGCCCCAACUUCUCCUGCCCCUGGAGAGUGUUUUUCUGGUGGGCCACCCACUCUGACAGAACAACUGAAUGUCACCCCAAACUCCUAUGGUCCUCUUGAAGAGGGGUCAGGGCUUUUUGACCCAUUACAUUUCUGGAACCAGUUCUUAAUUGUAAGAGCUGCAGGUAGUACUAAUCACAUAACAAGUGAGCACACUCUCUAUGCAAGGUUUUCUGUAGCACAGGACUACACAGCCUGAAAUACCAGCCAGUUCCGCUGGGACAGAGCAUCUCUGAUCCUCUGGGCUACGAGCAGAAGUUCACUCAUUUCCCAAAUCUGAUUCCAUUCUGAUCUGAAAAGAAUUUAGAAGUAAUAGUUUCAGGCUGUGAUUACCUGUCAUAUCAAGUGAUGAUAGGUGAGAAAGAUGCCUUAUUAUCUUUUCCUUUUGCUGUAUCCAGCUCAGGAUGGGUGAUGGUCACCUUCCCUGUUAUGCCUGUGAUACAAGCUGUGAUAGUCAAGAUCUAAUCCUGGGGAAUAGUUUCGGUCCCUUGAGCCUGGUACAGUGCAGCAGAUGCUCAAGUAGUCCAACAUUAGUUAAACUCUUAUGUCUCAAUUUAAAAACCAGAUGUAUUAUUUUGUAGUUAUAUUCCACUCAAUGUCCAACAACAAGAAAAAAUUAGAAAUGUGGUGUGAGUUGAACAGUUUUCACUUUAAUGGUAUUUUAAUAAUCAGGAAAAUCACCCAUGUACAGUAAAGAUAAAUUGCUUUGCUACAGGGUAAUAUAAACUUUAACAAGUAUAAUAAAUAUUUCUGCUUGACCA